RNAcentral lists this long non-coding RNA (246 nucleotides) under Trifolium pratense (red clover). RNAcentral's name for it is "long non-coding RNA (TPRA_LNC002251)". The record is from RNAcentral. Lineage: Eukaryota; Viridiplantae; Streptophyta; Magnoliopsida; Fabales; Fabaceae.
ACCCAAGAAGUUGCUCCAUUGUCAUGUCCUCUAAAUCUUUUGUCUCUUUGAUAACGGUGACAAUAUGCUCAAACUUUGGAUCUACCGAUCUAAGAACUUUCUCCAUGAUUCUUACAUCAUCAUACUUCUCUCUGUUUCUUUUUAGAUUAUUAGUAACCGUCAAAACUCUUGAGAAGUAAUCAGAGAUAAGUUCACCUUCUUUCAUAUGCAAAGCUUCAAACUCUCCUCUUAGUGUUUGAAGACGNN